AAUAAAAGAAUUCCAUUUUCCUUCCUCAUUCAUCGGAGAGCUCUAUUUGGGCUUUCCGAAAAGGUAUCACAUGCCAAGUUUGGCCUCACGGUCUAAAAGUUCUAGAGUCAUACAUUUUUGACAAAACAAAAGAGAAAAACCAAAAAAAAAGAGGGAUGCAACACGAGGACUUUCCAGGAGGUCACCCAUCCUAGUACUACUCUCGCCCAAGCACGCUUAACUGCGGAGUUUUGAUGGGAUCUGGUGCAUUAGUGCUGGUAUGAUCGCAUCCGGUACUACAUGCAAUGCAAUCGUAUAUAUUCUUUUUUGAAGACUUUAUGUUCGAUUUGCCGUGGGUCCCACCAGCUAUGUAGGAAUACCUUAUCUUGUUUAUAAGAAUUUGAUACAUCCAAAAUAUUCGAAAACAAUGUCCGAACAUAUAAUUUCGCCCCGUAAUAUAGCAAAGAUCACGAAAAGGCCCGAAAAAGUACAUUAAGGUCAAAAGUUGGAGUAGAAAAAAACACAAUAGAAGAAUUCCAUUUUCCUUCCUCAUCAUCGGAGAGCUCUUUUUGGGCUUUCCGAAAAGGUAUCACAUGCCAAGUUUGGCUUCAUGGUCUAAAAGUUUCAGAGUCAUACAUUUUUAACAAAAAAAAAGAGAAAAACCGAAAAAAAGAGGGAUGCAACACGAGGACUUUCCUGGAGGUCACCCAUCCUAGUACUACUCUCGCCCAAGCACGCUUAACUGCGGAGUUUUGAUGGGAUCUGGUGCAUUAGUGCUGGUAUGAUCACAUCCGGUACUAAAUGCAAUGCAAUCGUAUAUAUUCUUUUUUGAAGACUUUAUGAUCGAUUUGCCGUGGGUCCCACCAGCUAUGUAGGAAUACCUUAUCUUGUUUAUAAGAGAUUUGAUACAUC
This 891-nucleotide small RNA is filed under the name Arabidopsis thaliana (thale cress). Its description in RNAcentral is "ATSL166810". The record is from RNAcentral. Lineage: Eukaryota; Viridiplantae; Streptophyta; Magnoliopsida; Brassicales; Brassicaceae.